This 648-nucleotide ribosomal RNA is filed under the name Staphylococcus aureus. RNAcentral's name for it is "partial 23S ribosomal RNA". It matches the Rfam family "Bacterial large subunit ribosomal RNA", at positions 12 to 656 of the family's 2925-position model. The record is from RNAcentral. Lineage: Bacteria; Bacillati; Bacillota; Bacilli; Caryophanales; Staphylococcaceae.
UAAGGGCGCACGGUGGAUGCCUUGGCACUAGAAGCCGAUGAAGGACGUUACUAACGACGAUAUGCUUUGGGGAGCUGUAAGUAAGCUUUGAUCCAGAGAUUUCCGAAUGGGGAAACCCAGCAUGAGUUAUGUCAUGUUAUCGAUAUGUGAAUACAUAGCAUAUCAGAAGGCACACCCGGAGAACUGAAACAUCUUAGUACCCGGAGGAAGAGAAAGAAAAUUCGAUUCCCUUAGUAGCGGCGAGCGAAACGGGAAGAGCCCAAACCAACAAGCUUGCUUGUUGGGGUUGUAGGACACUCUAUACGGAGUUACAAAGGACGACAUUAGACGAAUCAUCUGGAAAGAUGAAUCAAAGAAGGUAAUAAUCCUGUAGUCGAAAAUGUUGUCUCUCUUGAGUGGAUCCUGAGUACGACGGAGCACGUGAAAUUCCGUCGGAAUCUGGGAGGACCAUCUCCUAAGGCUAAAUACUCUCUAGUGACCGAUAGUGAACCAGUACCGUGAGGGAAAGGUGAAAAGCACCCCGGAAGGGGAGUGAAAUAGAACCUGAAACCGUGUGCUUACAAGUAGUCAGAGCCCGUUAAUGGGUGAUGGCGUGCCUUUUGUAGAAUGAACCGGCGAGUUACGAUUUGAUGCAAGGUUAAGCAGUAA